UAAAGAAUUUCGGUAUGGGAUGGGGAUGCGUUCCAUUAGUUAGUUGGCGGGGUAACGGCCCACCAAGACAACGAUGGAUAGGGGUUCUGAGAGGAAGGUCCCCCACAUUGGAACUGAGACACGGUCCAAACUCCUACGGGAGGCAGCAGUGAGGAAUAUUGGUCAAUGGACGAGAGUCUGAACCAGCCAAGUAGCGUGAAGGAUGACUGCCCUAUGGGUUGUAAACUUCUUUUAUAUGGGAAUAAAACGUUCCACGUGUGGAAUUUUGUAUGUACCAUAUGAAUAAGGAUCGGCUAACUCCGUGCCAGCAGCCGCGGUAAUACGGAGGAUCCGAGCGUUAUCCGGAUUUAUUGGGUUUAAAGGGAGCGUAGGUGGAUUGUUAAGUCAGUUGUGAAAGUUUGCGGCUCAACCGUAAAAUUGCAGUUGAAACUGGCAGUCUUGAGUACAGUAGAGGUGGGCGGAAUUCGUGGUGUAGCGGUGAAAUGCUUAGAUAUCACGAAGAACUCCGAUUGCGAAGGCAGCUCACUGGACUGCAACUGACACUGAGGCUCGAAAGUGUGGGUAUCAAACAGGAUUAGAUACCCUGGUAGUCCACACAGUAAACGAUGAAUACUCGCUGUUUGCGAUAUACAGCAAGCGGC
Molecule: ribosomal RNA, 641 nt
Filed under: uncultured bacterium
Lineage: Bacteria
Description: bacterial SSU rRNA
Rfam family: Bacterial small subunit ribosomal RNA
Source: RNAcentral